UGGGGAAUCUUCCGCAAUGGACGAAAGUCUGACGGAGCAACGCCGCGUGAGUGAAGACGGCCUUCGGGUUGUAAAGCUCUGUGAUCCGGGACGAAAGAGCCUGAGGUGAAUAGCCUAAGGAAGUGACGGUACCGGAAAAGCAAGCCACGGCUAACUACGUGCCAGCAGCCGCGGUAAUACGUAGGUGGCAAGCGUUGUCCGGAAUUAUUGGGCGUAAAGCGCGCGCAGGCGGCUUCCUAAGUCCAUCUUAAAAGUGCGGGGCUUAACCCCGUGAUGGGAUGGAAACUGGGAAGCUGGAGUAUCGGAGAGGAAAGUGGAAUUCCUAGUGUAGAGGUGAAAUGCGUAGAGAUUAGGAAGAACACCGGUGGCGAAGGCGACUUUCUGGACGAAAACUGACGCUGAGGCGCGAAAGCGUGGGGAGCAAACAGG
Molecule: ribosomal RNA, 429 nt
Filed under: Fusobacteriota bacterium
Lineage: Bacteria; Fusobacteriati; Fusobacteriota
Description: Fusobacteria bacterium partial 16S ribosomal RNA
Rfam family: Bacterial small subunit ribosomal RNA
Source: RNAcentral